Molecule: ribosomal RNA, 444 nt
Filed under: uncultured prokaryote
Description: bacterial SSU rRNA
Rfam family: Bacterial small subunit ribosomal RNA
Source: RNAcentral
UAGGGAAUAUUGGUCAAUGGGCGCAAGCCUGAACCAGCCAUGCCGCGUGCAGGAUGAAGGCCCUCAGGGUUGUAAACUGCUUUUGUAUGGGAAUAAACAAGUCCUUGCGCGGACUCUUGACGGUAUCAUAAGAAUAAGCACCGGCUAGCUCCGUGCCAGCAGCCGCGGUAAUACCGAGGGUGCAAGCGUUAUCCGGAUUUACUGGGUUUAAAGGGUGCGUAGGCGGCUCUUUAAGUCAGUGGUGAAAGCCUAACACUCAAUGUUAGAAGUGCCAUUGAUACUGAAGAGCUUGAGUCGAGGAGAGGUAAGCAGAAUUUGUGGUGUAGCAGUGAAAUGCUUAGAUACCAUGAGGAAUACCGAUAGCGAAAGCAGCUUACUGGCCUUGUACUGACGCUGAGGCACGAAAGCGUGGGGAGCAAACAGGAUUAGAUACCCCUGUAGUCC